This 279-nucleotide ribosomal RNA is filed under the name uncultured bacterium. RNAcentral's name for it is "partial 16S ribosomal RNA". It matches the Rfam family "Bacterial small subunit ribosomal RNA", at positions 506 to 784 of the family's 1533-position model. The record is from RNAcentral.
UGCCAGCCGCCGCGGUAAUACGAAGGUGGCGAGCGUUGUUCGGAUUUACUGGGCGUAAAGAGCACGUAGGCGGUUGGGUAAGCCUCUUGAGAAAGCUUCCGGCUUAACCGGGAAAGGUCGAGGGGAACUACUCAGCUAGAGGACGGGAGAGGAGCGCGGAAUUCCCGGUGUAGCGGUGAAAUGCGUAGAUAUCUGGAGGAACAUCAGUGGCGAAGGCGGCUCCCUGGCCAAAGACUGACGCUCAUGUGCGAAAGUGUGGGUAGCGAACAGGAUUAGAUA